This 430-nucleotide ribosomal RNA is filed under the name Acidobacteriota bacterium. RNAcentral describes it as "Acidobacteria bacterium partial 16S ribosomal RNA". It matches the Rfam family "Bacterial small subunit ribosomal RNA", at positions 355 to 776 of the family's 1533-position model. Lineage: Bacteria; Pseudomonadati; Acidobacteriota. The record is from RNAcentral.
UGGGGAAUAUUGGCCAAUGGGCGAAAGCCUGAUCCAGCCAUGCCGCGUGUGUGAAGAAGGCCUUUUGGUUGUAAAGCACUUUAAGCGAGGAGGAGGCUACUUAGAUUAAUACUCUAGGAUAGUGGACGUUACUCGCAGAAUAAGCACCGGCUAACUCUGUGCCAGCAGCCGCGGUAAUACAGAGGGUGCGAGCGUUAAUCGGAUUUACUGGGCGUAAAGCGUGCGUAGGCGGCUUCUUAAGUCGGAUGUGAAAUCCCUGAGCUUAACUUAGGAAUUGCAUUCGAUACUGGGAAGCUAGAGUAUGGGAGAGGAUGGUAGAAUUCCAGGUGUAGCGGUGAAAUGCGUAGAGAUCUGGAGGAAUACCGAUGGCGAAGGCAGCCAUCUGGCCUAAUACUGACGCUGAGGUACGAAAGCAUGGGGAGCAAACAGG